GCUGGGCGCCGUGGUGCAUGCCUGUAAUCCUAGCAUCUUGGGAGGCUGAGGAAGGAGGAUCACAAGUUUAAAGCUAGCCUCAUCAAUUUAGUGAGGCCCUAAGCAAUGUAGUGAGACCCUGUCUCAA
RNAcentral lists this small RNA (127 nucleotides) under Marmota monax (woodchuck). Lineage: Eukaryota; Metazoa; Chordata; Mammalia; Rodentia; Sciuridae. The record is from RNAcentral.